CUACGGGCUGCUCCAGUGAGGAAUAUUGGACAAUGGGCGAAAGCCUGAUCCAGCCAUGCCGCGUGCAGGAAGACUGCCCUAUGGGUUGUAAACUGCUUUUGUACGGGAAGAAACACUCCCUCGUGAGGGAGCUUGACGGUACCGUAAGAAUAAGCAUCGGCUAACUCCGGCCAGCAGCCGCGGUAAUACGGAGGAUGCAAGCGUUAUCCGGAAUCAUUGGGUUUAAAGGGUCCGUAGGCGGAUGAUUAAGUCAGGGGUGAAAGUCUGCAGCUCAACUGUAGGACUGCCCUUGAUACUGGUUAUCUUGAAUCGUUGUGAAGUGGCUAGAAUAUGUAGUGUAGCGGUGAAAUGCAUAGAUAUUACAUGGAAUACCGAUUGCGAAGGCAGGUCACUAACAACGUAUUGACGCUGAGGGACGAAAGCGUGGGGAGCGAACAGGAUUAGAUACCCGCGUAGUC
Molecule: ribosomal RNA, 458 nt
Filed under: uncultured bacterium
Lineage: Bacteria
Description: partial 16S ribosomal RNA
Rfam family: Bacterial small subunit ribosomal RNA
Source: RNAcentral